GAGAGGCUUUGUGGGGCAGCAGUUUCUGCCUCUGUGGGUACCACGGUGGCUGUAUGUUUGUUUCUUCUGCACAGGGAGAUAGUGAGAUUUAGAAUGCACUUUCUGUUUUGGGAGAAAAGUAUUUUGUCUGUGAAGAUAUUUAUGCCUCAAGAAAAUCAUGGUCUGGCUGGAAGGUGCCAAUGAAGUUUGGUAAGAGGGCAUCAAGGCCAGAACCAAAGAUCUGUGACCCCAGAGGAAGGAGAAGGCAUUAAAAUGGGUCAGCUGUGUCCCUGCACUCGGAUAAAAGUUCUCAAAUUGUGAAGCAGACUCUUACAGCCAGCAACAGAGGCUAACAAAGAAAAAUGCUGGAGGAGAGAAAAGAUGGAAGAGUUUACUUCCUCCCCCUUGGAAUAAGGGCUAUGGAAGGGAUGAGGAGAUGUCAGUGUGCGAUCCUGAACUGGCUGGGGAUGAGCACAGGACAUGGCUGUCGUGUCUCUCUGAAGGAGCUGUCACCUUGAGUUAGGCUGCUGGGCCAUGGCACAGUGCCACCCACACUUGGGUGUACUCUGAAGUGAGCAGAAGUGGUUCAACUUCCCAGGCACACCAGCUUGGAUAAUGUCAAGGAGAGGGGGGAAAAAGGCUUCUGAUGGUUUUAAAAAGUCCUUUAAAAUUCAACUUGUGCAGGUGGGGAUGCAAUCAAGUUUUCUCCCUUCUUGCCCGGAGGCAGCUGAGGGAGAGGGAGCACAUGCCCAGUGCCUCCAGUGACCUGGGGAGAAGCUGCGACCACUGAGCCCACACAGCCCAGCUUCCCUACCUGUGGGGUUGGGGGGACUCCUCUUUGUGUUCAUGGGACAAAAUUUUGGCCCCAAGAGUUUCACAGCCUGCAGUUGAAUGUCUGGCACAAGGAGGUCCUUCAUUUUUGUCUAUUAUUCCAGACAUAAUUGGUAAUCAACUAAAAUCCAUAAUAGAAAUGUUGUCAUGAUGAUGACUUGUCUGAGCUGAACUGGGCAUGUUCUCCCUUUGCAGGUGGAUAGAAGGUUACAGGCUUUUAAAUUUUUAUUUUAAA
This is a long non-coding RNA of Zonotrichia leucophrys gambelii, 1045 nucleotides long. RefSeq lists it as uncharacterized. The record is from RefSeq and is a predicted model, not a curated record. Lineage: Eukaryota; Metazoa; Chordata; Aves; Passeriformes; Passerellidae. The transcript is spliced from 4 exons.